RNAcentral lists this ribosomal RNA (442 nucleotides) under uncultured bacterium. Its description in RNAcentral is "partial 16S ribosomal RNA". It matches the Rfam family "Bacterial small subunit ribosomal RNA", at positions 338 to 795 of the family's 1533-position model. The record is from RNAcentral.
CCUACGGGAGGCAGCAGUGGGGAAUAUUGGGCAAUGGGCGCAAGCCUGACCCAGCAACGCCGCGUGAAGGAAGAAGGCUUUCGGGUUGUAAACUUCUUUUGUCAGGGAAGAGUAGAAGACGGUACCUGACGAAUAAGCCACGGCUAACUACGUGCCAGCAGCCGCGGUAAUACGUAGGUGGCAAGCGUUGUCCGGAUUUACUGGGUGUAAAGGGCGUGUAGCCGGGUUGACAAGUCAGAUGUGAAAUCCUGCGGCUUAACCGGAGAACUGCAUUUGAAACUGUUGAUCUUGAGUACUGGAGAGGCAGGUGGAAUUCCUAGUGUAGCGGUGAAAUGCGUAGAUAUUAGGAGGAACACCAGUGGCGAAGGCGGUCUGCUGAACAGCAACUGACGGUGAGGCGCGAAAGCGUGGGGAGCAAACAGGAUUAGAUACCCCAGUAGUC